Mobula hypostoma (lesser devil ray) is the source of this 4319-nucleotide RNA transcript. It is a transcript of the gene named transcription factor SOX-11-like, with no coding region annotated. NCBI's taxonomy places the organism in Eukaryota, Metazoa, Chordata, Chondrichthyes, Myliobatiformes, Myliobatidae. The record is from RefSeq and is a predicted model, not a curated record. The transcript has 2 exons.
CGGGCGCUGGGGCGGCUGCGGGCGCCGCCGCAUCUUCCGCCGGGCGGCUCGGAAGAUGGUGCAGCAGCAGCAGACGGGGGCGGCCAGGAGGGGCGGCGGAGGAGGAGGAGGGGGGCGCGGCGAGGCGGCCGACAGUGGCAUCAGCGACAUGAGCGCGGCAUCGAGCCCCAACCCCUGGAGCGGGACCCCGGGCCGCGGCGACGAGGAGGGCGCGGGCUGCUGUCAGCCCGACUGGUGCAAGACGCCGAGCGGCCACAUCAAGCGGCCGAUGAACGCCUUCAUGGUGUGGUCGCAGAUCGAGAGGAAGAAGAUUAUGGAACAGGUGCCCGACAUGCACAACGCCGAGAUCUCCAAGCGGCUCGGCAAGAAGUGGAAGAUGCUGAAAGAGGCCGAGAAGAGCCCGUUUAUCCGGGAGGCGGAGCGGCUGCGCCUCAAGCACAUGGCGGACUACCCCGACUACAAGUACCGACCGCGGAAGAAGGUACGGGGAGAGACGGCCGCCGCCCCCUCCUCCUCCUCUGCCGCUGCCGCCCCCGCCUCCGACAGCAAGCCUCACAAGAAGCCGCCGGGUAAGAAGCACAGCCGGACGCACAAAGCCAAGCAGCUGCUGGAGCGCUCCAAAGCCAAGCGUGCCAAGGCGCAGGGUCAGCUCGGCGGCGUGGGGCCGAGCGGCCGCCGCCCGCAGCCGCCCGACCUAGAGUCGGAGCCCGAACCGGAGAAUGAGGAGGAGGAGGACGAGGAGGAGCCCGAGGACGACGAGGAGCCCGAGGAGUUGCUGCACUACUGCCUGGCCGGCAAGAAAGCGGGCGCUGAGCUCAGGACCCCCGGGCGCCCGGCGCUGCUGCCCGCCGCCCACGCCCGGCCGCCCGACGACUGCGACCAGCAGCUGCUGCUCUUCGACCUGAGCCUGAACGUCGCGGCGGGCGGAGGGCUGUCCGGCCCGGGCGGCAACCUGUCCCUGGACAAGGACAGCGACUCUCUGGCGGGCGGCAGCAGCCCCGUGUCCCACUUCGAGUUCCCCGACUACGGGACCCCCGAGGUGCGCAAAAUGAUCUCAGGAGACUGGCUGGAAAUCGAGUCCAAUAUUUCCUACUAGGUUGACGGACCGAGCCGGGCGUCGCCUCCCUCCCCCCUCUUCCGUCUACCCCCUCCCCUCUCUCUCUCCCUCCCGGCCGGUUCCAACGCAUCGGAUGCAAUUCUCUUCCCCGGAGGAUGAACGACGCCUCUCUCCUCCCCAACCCCCUGCUGGAAGCUCGUCCUGCCAAGGGCUGUUCCUUUGAGCCUUCCCCGGGGCGAAGCCGUUGUCCUCAGACCCGUGCCCGUGGGAAGGAGCUCCCUCAUCUCCCUGUGAAUGUGAACGAUGGGGAGGGGGGAGAGGAAGGAGUGAAGGAGAAAUGCUCGAUGCCCGCGUAAUGGAUGGCAAGUUCACGGGAUAGCUGCCCAGUAAACCAUCGAAAGUAUCCCGGAUAAUCGGCCCAUCCAAACUGUACAAGAUUGUGUGCGGUGGCCACCGGCCGUAGUGAUACAUGUGGCGACUAAGUACUUGUCGCUGACUGGGCAUGUGAUACUUUCAAAGGGGUUUUUAUCGUUCGUUUCUUAUUUUUCUGUAUUAAUUUCAAUGUUGCGAUGAUGUCAGUAUUUUGGAUUUCAUGGUAUCAUGAUAUAUUGGGAUGUGUAAACCCAUGAUAUUAGAAAACUUAUGAUUUUAUAACACAACCUUGAUUUUAAACAAAAACUUGUGGGGAGUGGAGUAAAUCCCUUAAAAUAGAGACUAAAUUCCGAAUGAAUAUUAAUCUGUUCUGCAAUGCACCCGAGACUUGGCUUACUGUCAAGACUGCUUGCCCGUGUUUGCCCUCAGUUGUUAGGCUGCGAUAACAAUUGUAGAUGUAAAUUUUUGCAGCAGAGUAUCCCUGUCAGUGUUUGAUCUUUUUAGAAGGCUUUUCUGAUGCGUGGCCUACAGUCGGCGCAGGAUGGAGGGUACAUCGACCUGUCACCUCCUCCUUGGUUUAGGCCGCCCACUGUGCGAAAUGCACCUCAGCUAAAUUAUUCCUAAUAGAUUGUGAGCAUAAGUUCAAAAUUUCGUCAAAAUGCUCUCUCCCCUGCAAAUAGUGAAGAUUGAUGGAUUCUUCACUUCUGACCCUGCCAGGGCCAACAGCCCAGUUGGGAGAUGGACUUGCCCAGGGACUGCCCAUGGCGAAUGGGUUUAACACUAUUGAAUAUCACCCAGACGGAUGGUGUUAUUGACAUGAGAGAUUACAAGAACCUUCCCCAUACACAGGAGACAUUUUACAUCCAAAUUAUAACCUGUUCGCGAAUUAAAUGAGGAAAGCGAUUUAAAAUCGGAGGUUUCUGAGCAGUGUAGUAAUUCAGUAUUAUCCUUCGACUCUGGGGUUUAGAAAAACCUUUAGAUCUGGGGUUCCCAGCCUUUCUAUGCCAUGGACCAAUACCAUCAAGCAAGGGGUCCGUGGAGCCCAAGUUGGGAACCCCUAUAUUAGAAGAAGCUGAAGUCUAUUUGUAGCCUUGCCUGAUGGCAGAGAAUUCUUCCUGAACGUGAGUUCUCAGGAUAUGCCCUGCAAUUUUUAGUGGUUCCCCAAAUACAAAUACCGCCAGAAAGACUGAGGUGACAAUGUUUCCCGAAUUGCCUCUCUAUCUGAGCGCUUUACUGGACCAUCUCGAGGGUACAAGAGGCAAACUGCAUUGCUGCAGAUUUGUAAUUUCAACCACAUCAGUGACUCGAGUGGAUUUUGCAGGAAUCCUGUAUUACAGGUUUCUGGUAUUGAUAUCAGAAAUUCUGUUCCAGAUUCGUUACUUCAAUUUAAUGGCACUGGCUCUUGUUUCUGUUCAAAGUAGAUUUAUUAUCAAAGUAUGUAUACAUUAUACAACCUUGAGAUUUGUCUCUUCACAGGCAGCCACGAAACAAAGAAAUCCAAAAUAAACCAUUAAAAAAAGAUUGUCAAACAUCCAAUGUGCAGAGAGGGGGAAAAAAACUCUAAUUACUCUUUCUUGUGGGAUCAGUCAAGAUUCAAUUCAGAAUCUUGGUGGUAUGUGUUGGUUUAUUUAAAUGUUUAACAAGGCACUUGAAUUCCCCAGAAGCUGUUUAGAGAAGAUAGCAGUGUCCUUUGUUUCCCUUGUCCUGCUAACCUUGAGUUAGCAGGGGUUUAUGGAUAAAAUAUGGUCUGCGAAUGAGUCUCCUGCUCAAUGGAUAAACUUGCAAAGACAAGUUCCUACCUUCUAGUAGGACAUGGCUGCAAGAGAGAUAUCUAAUUGCCUUCCUUCCAGAUUAUGAAGACUAACAAUUUGAGAACUCCUUUAUUCUGUCUUCCUCCUCUUCGGUUUUCUAGUAUUUAUUUUAUUCAGAAAUCAUCAGAAUAAAAACUGAAGCCAUUUAUAGCUCCGACACUUUGUCCAGAUGCUGGCCAAUCAUCUUGCCCAAGACAAGACAGACGACAUUGAGAAGCAAGACUUGGCUGGUCAAAAGUUAGUCUUAGUUAAAUGACUGACUUCCAUUUUUUGACGUAAACCUAUCAAUAUUUAGGAGCAUAGUUAGCAAAUCCUGUUUGCUUAAGUCAUUACCUAUUAACACUAAAAUAAUUGUAGUUGUGGGCCAAUGAAUGUGAAGUUCAUUGUGUUCACCUCAGAAUAAAAGCAGCCACUCGUGGCCACAUUUCCAGCAGUCUAACGGAUUGCUCCAACGUGCACACUGAUGACAUAAUUUGUCAGGCCACAGAAUACUCUGAUUCCGCUCUGUGAGUUUACACUCUCUCUCCAUCGCAAUAGUAUUACGAGUGACAGGAAGAGCAUUAAGGUACUUGUGUAUUCUCCGGGAAAGACAUUGUUACAAACAUGUCUGACCACCAGAACCUUCAAAGACUUGGGGGAAAUUACAAAUAUUUACUUUAGAAGGAUUAAUUUGUCACAAUGACAAAAAGUAACAAUAUUCACAAAUUUUUCCAUAAAUACAUUAAAUAAAGGCACUUAUUAACAGGAUGAUGUAAGCCAUGUUUUAAUCUUUGAUUUAAUGGUGGUUACAUCCCAAUACAUCACGAAAAAUAACUGGAAUAGUGUUCUGCAACGAUACAUCAUCUUCAACUUCGAUUACAUUUUAAGGUCCUUUUUGAUGUGGUUUUGAAUUUGGGGGAGAUGGAAGUUAAUUCAAAACAGCACAAGGAUCUGCCUGAUGUUGAAAUGUUUGUAUAAAAGAUUUUUUAUGUGUACAGUGUAGACGUCAUUGUAUGUUUUUGAGAAGUGUUGGUGUACUGAGUUAUAUUGAUGUGCUCAUAAUUUAUUUUGUGCCAUAAUAGAUUUUUAAAAAAAUAUUU